Molecule: unclassified non-coding RNA, 203 nt
Filed under: uncultured fungus
Lineage: Eukaryota; Fungi
Description: sequence contains ITS1
Source: RNAcentral
ACAAAUCAAAUUGUGGUGUUGGUGGAUCAUUGAUUUAUUCUUUGGUGUAUGGUGUUGAGUUCAGCACCAUGUAUCCACAGAGCAUAACAUCAAGCACACCCCAACACCUAACAUUUGUGCUCCAGGCAUUUCGUCUGGGUGCAAUUAUAUAUCAUAUAUAUAUUCAUUAUUGUCAGUUGUUUGUCUAUUUUAAAUUUAUAAUC